RNAcentral lists this unclassified non-coding RNA (445 nucleotides) under Hevea brasiliensis (rubber tree). Lineage: Eukaryota; Viridiplantae; Streptophyta; Magnoliopsida; Malpighiales; Euphorbiaceae. The record is from RNAcentral.
GGGUGUGGGGUGUGGUGGUUUGACAUCGAGUAAACCCAAUAGCUAGUCAAAUGUGAUUAUUCUUUUGAAGAUCAAGAAAAAGGAAAUCUAACAGCAAAAAAGGACUGCCAUCAUUUCGACUUCAGUAAAUCAGGCCAUAUUAACUUGGUUCACAAAACUAUGAACAAUAUAUACACCAAUAAUCCAUAUCAUCAAUUAUCCAACCGAUCAUAUAAUCACUAAGAUCCAUGACAUAGCCACUAAAUUCAAGCAUUCACGACUUAAACGACCCAGUUGUAUUACUUACCCAUUGCAUGUGCCGUGGGAAAACAAUACCCAAUUCUCCACUAACUUCACCAAGCUCAGUUCCACACUAUAUUUCCCUCAAUCUAUUAAAUAUGCAAAUCUCUAUCACUAUACUUGCAUAAAUCACAGCAGAAACCCCACCCGAAAAAAAAAAAAACUC